This 842-nucleotide ribosomal RNA is filed under the name Panorpodes maculatus. RNAcentral describes it as "partial 16S rRNA". Lineage: Eukaryota; Metazoa; Arthropoda; Insecta; Mecoptera; Panorpodidae. The record is from RNAcentral.
AAUACCGCGGCCCUUUAAAAUUUUUCAGUGGGCAGAUUAGACUUUAAAUUAUAUUCAAAAAGACAUGUUUUUGUUAAACAGGCGAGCAUUUAUUUGCCAAGUUCCUUAAUUUAACCUAUCAAUUUAAUUUAUUUAAAACAAUUAAAUAUACUAAUUUUAUCAUUAUUUUAAUUUUUAUCUAAUUCUAAAAAUUAUUUUAAUAAAAACUUAAAUUAAUAAAAAUUAUUUUUUAACUUAAAAUAAAUUAUAACAUUUUCAUAAUUAAUGGCUAUUUCUAAGCCUAUAAUCUUUAAAUUAAAAAAUUAUUAUAAAAUUUAUUUUAAAGCUUAUCCCUUAAAAUAUUAAUUAAUAAUAAUAAUUUAUUAUUCAAAUAACUAAUUAUUUAUUAAUAAUCUAAAUUUAAUUUAUUUCUUAAAAAACUAGAUAUAUUUAAGAACGAAUAACAUUUCAUUUCUAAUUAAUUAUUUUAAAUUUUUAUGAUACAAAAAAUUAAAUAAUAAAUUAACUCUCUUAAAUUCGAGAAAAAUUAAAUUUUUAACUUUUAAUUAAUAAACCCUGAUACACAAGGUACAAUAUAUAAAAUUUACUUUUAAUUUAAAACUUUUUCAAAUAUUUCAAUAUUCUUUUACAAUACUAAUUAACUAUUAUACAAAUUAUUUAAUCUAUAUACUAUACAAAAAAAAAAUCAAAUUAAAAUUAAUUUUAUUAAAUUUAAAUUUAUAAUAAACAAAAAAUUAAUAAAUUUUUAUUAUCAAAUUAAAUUGAAUUACACAAUAUACUUUUCAAUGUAAAUGAAAUGCUUUAUUUUUCAAGCUCUAAUUCGUCUUUCUAGAUACACCUUC